This 1541-nucleotide long non-coding RNA is filed under the name Apteryx haastii (Great spotted kiwi). Its description in RNAcentral is "lncRNA (ENSAHAG00000011042.1)". The record is from RNAcentral. Lineage: Eukaryota; Metazoa; Chordata; Aves; Apterygiformes; Apterygidae.
CCCUUUGUUUAGCUACUCUUUCCUCUGCCCACUUCCCCAUCCCUCUUGUACUCUUUCCCUCCCUCUGUCAAUAUCUACAUCCCUCUAACUGGCUCCCUGUCACUCUAUCCAGCUCUUCAUCAUCCUCUUCCUCUCCCUAUCCCACCACCUGCCCGCUGUCCUUCUGUCCGGCUCCCCAUCCCUCUGCCGCUCCCGUCUCUCUGUGCCUCUGUCUUGUCUGCCUGUGCGCGGGCAGGGCUGCCGUGCGGCGCAGCUCGAGUCGCGAUCGCGACGCUGGCAUCGAGCCCGCUUUUCYGUCAGGUCUGCCUUUACGCAAACUGGCGUCUUCCCUCCAUCUACAGCUCGACCGUUCUGCUGAUUUAGUGCUUCCCGAGGGGCUGUGCUUCCUGGCAAAGAAUGCUUUGAGUUUAUCUUAGCGAGCGCGAUUGUUUACCUAGCUUCUGGCUCCUUUCUUUCCUUGGAACUCCUUUCUCUUUGCUAUUCUGGCCCCUCCAAACAAUUUCUGCUUCUAGUAUUAUUAAUGUUGGGCCGUAAUCCUUGCAGAGCUUCCUUCUUUGAAGUCAGGGGGUUCCGGGGGUUCCAGUAUUGGUUUUUACUUUGAGGGUAAAGGUCCUUCACAACUGAUGUCUUAAGUGUGCAACUGUUUUACCUGGAUUUUUGCUUUCACAAGCUACUGUUUCUUUCAGGGGCCAGCUACAACAGUAACUGUGCUCUAGCAGAGAAGUGGGGUUCCAUGUAUACGAGCAACAGCACCACAGUACCCAGUAAAACCAUAAUUACAGUACUGGUAGCACAAGUCAGUUUCCCAUCAGCUCAGUCUCCAGAGUCUGGAGUUUUUGGAGGCCUUAAUUUUUACCCUGCUUUGGCUGGAGGGUGUUUUCUGAGAGCGUCCGUCAGCAGCACAGUUUCCCUGAGGAGGAUGGUCUACUGAAGGCUGGAGGUGGCCGGGUGCCUGAGCGAGCCUGACCGUAGGUGAGGGCUGCUGUGACAUCCCUGCGAUGAAACGGAGCCAGAGAGGGUGGCUGAAGCAUAGUCCGGCAGGCGAAGGAGCGUCAUCACAGCUGGGAGCUCUGCGGAGCUCCGCGGCUGGCCAUGGAGGACGAGCUCUGACUCGCAGCGUGGACACAGCUACGUCCUGGGGCUGCACCGUGUGUGAGCAGGGCUGGGAGGUGGAAGCUGGUUUUGCCCUCGGUGGUUACUGGUGUCAUUGGCUGUGGAUUUUGCCCACGGAGCUGAGAGGACCAAAAAUAUUAAUGGUCUGUAAGAGAGAUGAAUUAGUGCUUGCGGUGUUCCAGGUAGGUUCAGUGGAAGUGCAGCUUAGUGCAGUCCAGUGGCAUGAUUCUUGCACAUGCUCACAUUUGAACGGUGGCUAAAACCAAGCCUAUAAACAGCAACUGUAACGUGAUUCUGGUGCGUGUCUUCCUGUUCUGCUGCCCUUCUAAAGGAAGGGGAAACUUCUUAAACUGUGGGCAAAACCCCAUGGCUUCUCUGUACUGUUCUCAUGCUCAUGGGUGCUUUGGUGUUUCUUGCUUAAAGCUGAG